Molecule: ribosomal RNA, 430 nt
Filed under: Pseudomonadota bacterium
Lineage: Bacteria; Pseudomonadati; Pseudomonadota
Description: Proteobacteria bacterium partial 16S ribosomal RNA
Rfam family: Bacterial small subunit ribosomal RNA (bases 201-430)
Source: RNAcentral
UGGGGAAUAUUGGACAAGGGGAGAAAGCAUGAUAAAGACAGGAAGUGGGUGGGAAGAAGGGAUUGGGGGUGUAAAGAAAUUUAAGGGAGGAGGAGGGGACGAGUAGGAAGAAUAAUGGAGAGGGGAAGUGAAUAGGAGAAUAAGAACUGGAGAACGAGGGUGAAGGAGGUGGGGUAAUACAGAGGGUGCGAGCGUUAAUCGGAUUUACUGGGCGUAAAGCGUGCGUAGGCGGCUGAUUAAGUCGGAUGUGAAAUCCCUGAGCUUAACUUAGGAAUUGCAUUCGAUACUGGUCAGCUAGAGUAUGGGAGAGGAUGGUAGAAUUCCAGGUGUAGCGGUGAAAUGCGUAGAGAUCUGGAGGAAUACCGAUGGCGAAGGCAGCCAUCUGGCCUAACACUGACGCUGAGGUACGAAAGCAUGGGGAGCAAACAGG